RNAcentral lists this ribosomal RNA (253 nucleotides) under uncultured bacterium. RNAcentral describes it as "partial 16S ribosomal RNA". It matches the Rfam family "Bacterial small subunit ribosomal RNA", at positions 524 to 776 of the family's 1533-position model. The record is from RNAcentral.
GACGUAGGAUGCGAGCGUUAUUCGGAUUUAUUGGGCGUAAAGCGUGCGUAGGCGGCUGUUUAAGUCUGGUGUUAAAGCUAGGGGCUCAACCCCUGUGGUGCAUCGGAUACUGGGCAGCUUGAGUGCGGUAGGGGAAGGUGGAAUUCCGAGUGUAGCGGUGAAAUGCGUAGAUAUUCGGAAGAACACCGGUGGCGAAGGCGGCAUCCUGGACCAACACUGACGCUGAGGAGCGAAAGCCAGGGGAGCAAACGGG